CGCGUAGGCGGUUUAAAAAGUCAACUGUGAAAUUCCGGGGCUCAACCCCGGAACUGCAGGUGAAACUUUUAGACUUGAGGAUAGACGGAGAAAAUGGAAUUCCACGUGUAGCGGUGAAAUGCGUAGAUAUGUGGAAGAACACCAGUGGCGAAGGCGGUUUUCUAGUCUAUACCUGACGCUGAGGCGCGAAAGCAAGGGGAGCAAACAGGAUUAGAUACCCUGGUAGUCC
Molecule: ribosomal RNA, 229 nt
Filed under: uncultured bacterium
Lineage: Bacteria
Description: partial 16S ribosomal RNA
Rfam family: Bacterial small subunit ribosomal RNA
Source: RNAcentral